This 762-nucleotide long non-coding RNA is filed under the name Homo sapiens (human). RNAcentral describes it as "HSALNT0028371". Lineage: Eukaryota; Metazoa; Chordata; Mammalia; Primates; Hominidae. The record is from RNAcentral.
CUUGGCAAGUGCUCCCGAGGCUGGCUUCUCAGAUUUCUUUUAGAAAUCUGACUGGGGUUUCCAUUCCUCGUCCAGCUGACCAGGCACUGAGGAGGAGCCCGGAGGUGGAGGUCAGGAGCAGCUGGAAGAGCAGGAGGAGCCCGGAGGUGGAGGUCAGGAGCAGCUGGAAGAGCAGGAGGAGCCCAGAGGUGGAGGUCAGGAGCAGCUGGAAGAGCAGGAGGAUCCCGGAGGUGGAGGUCAGGAGCAGCUGGAAGAGCAGGAGGAGCCCAGAGGUGGAGGAAAGUAUGAAGCAACUUUCUGUGCCAGGCACCGUGCUGGCUUUGCCCCGGGAUGGGUGAGGAAGCUGUGGAAAGAGCCAGUUGUUCGUGCAGGCAUGGAUGACUAACGUGAGAGAUGAAGAAGCCCUUUCUCUGGAGAGCCCUGAGUCACCAUGAAAGAUUUCUGGCCACCCUGCUGAAGAGGCCACAUGGGGAGGCCACAUGGAGAGGAGGAGAGGUCCACUGAUCCAGCAUUUUAGUUGAGCUUCCAGCUGACUCCAGCCUCAAGCUUUAUCUGAAUGCACCUGCAUGAGAGACUUCUAAGCAAGACCAGCAGAAGAUCCACCCGCUGAUCCCAGACAACCCAUGGAACCAUGAGAGAGCCAAUAAAAUUGUGGUGGUUUUAAAGCCACUGAGCUUUGGAGUGGUUUGUGAUACAAUGAUAAAUAACAAAAGCAAUCUCACUGAUGGUGAGUCUGGCUGGCAUUCCUGAGCCUUGUGCCAC